This 200-nucleotide ribosomal RNA is filed under the name uncultured bacterium. Its description in RNAcentral is "partial 16S ribosomal RNA". It matches the Rfam family "Bacterial small subunit ribosomal RNA", at positions 28 to 225 of the family's 1533-position model. The record is from RNAcentral.
GAUGAACGCUAGCGGCAGGCUUAAUACAUGCAAGUCGAACGGUAAGUUGAAUAGCAAUAUUUGACCUAGAGUGACGUACGGGUGCGUAACACGUAUGCAACCUACCCAUAACUGGAGGAUAGCUCCCCGAAAGGGGAAUUAACCCUCCAUAGUAAUAUUGAAUGGCAUCAUUUGAUAUUUAAAACUCCGGUGGUUAUGGA